RNAcentral lists this ribosomal RNA (323 nucleotides) under Clostridioides difficile. RNAcentral's name for it is "partial 23S ribosomal RNA". It matches the Rfam family "Bacterial large subunit ribosomal RNA", at positions 2598 to 2925 of the family's 2925-position model. The record is from RNAcentral. Lineage: Bacteria; Bacillati; Bacillota; Clostridia; Peptostreptococcales; Peptostreptococcaceae.
ACGCGAGCUGGGUUCAGAACGUCGUGAGACAGUUCGGUCCCUAUCCGUCGCAGGCGUACGAAAUUUGAGAAGACCUGUCCUUAGUACGAGAGGACCGGGAUGGACGUACCUCUGGUGUACCAGUUGUCCUGCCAAGGGCAUGGCUGGGUAGCUAUGUACGGAAUGGAUAAGCGCUGAAAGCAUCUAAGCGCGAAGCCAACUUCAAGAUAAGAUUUCCCACCGAAAGGGUAAGACCCCAGAAAGACUAUCUGGUUGAUAGGUCGAAGGUGUAAGUACAGCAAUGUAUUUAGCUUAUCGAUACUAAUAGGUCGAGGACUUGACCA